AGCUAUGAUAAAACUCAAAUUUGAUCUCUUGUUCUCGCUUAGCCAAAGUGUUCGGCAUGAAACUGCAGUCCGUUUCAAGUACCGAACUGCGUCUGCACGCUAAAGCUUCUAUUUGUUCAGCACUCUAGCCAUGAGCCCAUGACUCAGGUAAUGCUAAGCUGUGAGGUGAACUUCCCAGCCUAAACAUAUAACAAGAAAAUUCAACGUCUCAUGAUAAUUUUUUUUCUCACCGCUUCAUGUGGACGCAUAACAAGAAAUUCAACAUUAUUCACGUGUCCAGAACCAUCGCUAACAAAGUAACACUUCGCUCAUCAAUUAAUUUUCCACCCCCCUUACAUAUGGAGUACUGUUGGUGCAUUUCAGCCUUCUGCAUACAGCAUACCUAGUGUACGACACUAAUGAUGGUUCAUUAAUCCAGUUCUACAUGUCGCAAACGAAAAUUAGAUUAAGUCCAUCUUUACCAGUAAUUUCAGUCAGUCUAAUCUAAAUGAUAUUUUUCUUUUUCGUUUAUCUAAAUACAAGUUCAGUUUAAAGUUUAAAUCUUGUGAGGUGGCCCCUUCACAAGACAAUGCUGGGAUCUCCUACAAUUGCAAAUCCAAGACAACAUGUAUGGCUAUGACAUCCUACAGUCACUGAAGGGCAGAUUGCACAUCCUUUCUUCAUGAAAAUCAUGAUUCUUAUGAGCUGGGGCAUUUGGC
This 698-nucleotide long non-coding RNA is filed under the name Setaria italica (foxtail millet). RNAcentral's name for it is "long non-coding RNA (SITA_LNC006946)". The record is from RNAcentral. Lineage: Eukaryota; Viridiplantae; Streptophyta; Magnoliopsida; Poales; Poaceae.